GUUCCGCGCCGGGCGUGGACGGUGUGGGGCGGCCCUGGCCCCGGCCCCGCAGAUCCUCGUUCCUAGCUGCCUGCCAGCGUCCUCGGCCCAGCCCUGAGGAUGGACCCAGGAGAUCCCGCUGGUGACCCUGCUGCUGGUGAGCGCUGCCGCACGGGCCAGGACCCCCUCCUGCUCCUGCAGGCCCUGCAGACCCUGUGGUCCACGCGGGAGCGGCAGCAGAGUCCAGAGGGACAGACAAGCUGCCUUUCACCUUGUCUAGCCACUUUCCCCGAGGGGCAUCCUUUGGAGGGUCUGGACUUUCCAGCCUUACCUCCCGUGCCUUUGGAUAUCGCACCCUCCUGGACAGCGCUGAGGUCUCCUCACGCACUCACCUCCGGGAGGAAGCCUGGCGGGGGUUUGCUGCCCUGGACGACCCCCUGGCUGGGCUUCUGGACAUGCUGGAGAGCUGCCGGGGCCGGCGGAGAGAGGGCCCCUCCCUGGAGGCCUGGAUCUCCCACCAGCUGCAGUGCUGGCUACAGGCACAGCCACGCCCGAGCCCAGCCCAGCACAGCCUGAGGCUGAAGCAGCUGCAGGCCCGAGCGGUCAGAGUCCUCACUGAGAGCCCCACCAGCCUUGUGGCACCACUGGCCAGCAUCUUCCAGCUGCAGGAUGCAGACAGGAGCUGCCUGCUGGUGCACGUCCACCGCCUCCACCACGAGGGCAGGUUCAGAGAAGCAGUCAUGCUGGGCACGACGUUGAAGCUGCAGCCAGAACUUGAUGUUGAAAAGGUGAACGUCUUUCUCAUGUAAAUUGUUUAGGUUCAAGCUUGGAUAAUGCCCAGGUCUCUAUAAACAGUGUUUGGUGGAGGUGGGGGGUCCACCAAGCCACAGUGGGGGACAGCAGGGCCAUCGGGGGUCGGCGAGGGCCUCAAGAGCCCCCUAAACCACCAUCCUUCUCGUGGGCUGACCCCAAAUCAGACGCAGCCGCACGUACAGGCACCCCGUGUCCGGCUGUCCCCUGAAGCCCUGAGUGUGCUCCGUGCAGCAGCUGGGGCCACCCCUUCCCUGGAUUGGGCACCAGGUGCCUCGAGGACACGCAGCCCAUGUGCUUCUGGGACCCUCUUCUGCUGCACAUCUCCACUGCGCAGUGGGCUGGGGAA
RNAcentral lists this small RNA (1138 nucleotides) under Pongo abelii (Sumatran orangutan). RNAcentral's name for it is "processed transcript". The record is from RNAcentral. Lineage: Eukaryota; Metazoa; Chordata; Mammalia; Primates; Hominidae.